AAAUAUAGGCAAUUACAGAGGAUAAGAUUAAAUUUUUUUUAUUUAUUUUUUUAAUUUACAGUUUUGUAAAACGACUAUGUUUUCAUUGUGGGGUUAAACACAUUUCUAGUGGUUGUUUUCCAGAGUCAGACUCGUUUCAAGAGAGCAUUUGAUUGAUGUAUCUUUGUGAUUUGCUGCACAUGUGCACUGGCCUUCCAAUGCUUCCGUAUAAGGAAGAUCGAGUGGAUGUGGUGAGAUUUUACAGCGAGAGGGGGUACAGGUAAAUAAAACUCCAGUUUUAAACCCUUAUGGAAGGGGAGGAGGGGUAUAACACAUCAAAAUCGGUAGGGUAAAUCUACAGCAUGUUUGUAUUCCUAAUGCUAUAGUGUGUAGCAGUUUGGUCUUUAAUUUAUAGGUAUUCAAAAAAAACUAUUGGUUUAAGAUUGACAUCAGUUGAAGAGUUCAUGAUAUUUUAAAAAAAACAAACAAAAAAACCCACAUAAAAUGGAUCUUUAAUGCAAAUAUUGACAGAGUUCUUUUUUUUUUUUUAAUGUAUUUCUUACAUAAAAUAUUUUGAAAUACAAACUUGUAAGAGAGCUACUUCCUGCAAGUGUCUUUAUGAAUGAUGUCCCAUAACUCCAUUUAGAUGAAAUGCUCACAUGUUAGGGUGAAUAAGUUAAGGAUUAAAUUGAUUAAUGCUUCUAGUUUUAUUUUGAAAAACAUGUCUUGGGGCUUUCCAAAUUGAUGUUUGAAGAUUUGUCCCUGAUUUUUUUUUAAACUGGUAUGUUUUAAGUAUUCUGGAGGCUCACACAUGCAUUUGGAACUAACAAUAUUAAAGACAAUGUAUUUGAAGUUGUUUUAAGAAUGUUAUUACUGUGCAAUCAUUCAUGCUGCCAUGAGGGUUUAUAUGCCAACUACAACACAAGCAAUGCAGUUAGGAUUCAUUUAAUGGAGAUUCGAUACCAAAAGUGACAUACUAUUACUCCUCUGGAACGUCACGUCUGUAAAAACCGGAGUAGAUGACAAAGGUGAGGGCAAAUGAUUGGCUCUUCACGUCAUGUGGCCAGGACUAACUGACUCCUGUAUGGUUUAAGUAAAGACACCCAGGAACUUCAACAUUCUGGUUGAGAAAGCCUGAAACGUGAAACCGGUACGAUCAUUAUAUUUGAUUUUAGCAAAAGCAAGGAAGUCAGUGCCGCACGCAGGAAGUAGUAUCACUUGAUAUGACAAAGUCCCAUAACAUCAGAGCGAGUCAUAUCAGGCUCCCUCCAAUGUGAGUGGGUUUACAUACAAUAUUUGGACAGAGUUUUAGGUGUAUACACAGUAUUAUACGUAUGUGUCUUGUUUUCCCCAUGUUGUAGAUGGAGACACAUAUCCUAUACAUAGAGGUAAUUACUACAUAUUGAAGUGCUCUACUAUCAUGUUUUCUUUGGGAAUGCUAUUUAUUUUUAGCACCAGAUAUUCUUCAUGUCAAGCGCUAUCUACAGUAACCUAGCAUGACAUUUUGAAUGGACUGCAAUAAGCAAUUUUCAGAUACACUUCCCAUUGUAUGUCCAUAGCCUUUUCAAAUGUUAGAAUACCAUCAUGUAAUAAUACUUUUACAUGGACUGAAAUACAGACAAAAUGUAAAAUUUUAUUUAAUCUGUUUAAGCUUAAACAACAGUUAAAAAUAAUGUAAAAUUAGAUACAACUUUAUUGUUGCAUGCAGCUUUGAAUACGGUCCAUACAUACUGGAUAUUAAUUCCAAUUAAAAGACCUUCAGCUCAUAAUUUUCAUGUGAAAACUGAGUUCACGUAAAUCUUCCCGUUACGAGUACUUCAGAGUCUCGUGUGUCCUGUCCAAUGCAGCAACUGGACAGGAGAAAGGACAUGUAGCUCAGCCAUCUUCCGUACGGCACAGUGUUUAGCAAACAAGAGUAUGUAAAACACCAGAGAAUAGUCAAGAGGAACGUGCAAAUUUCAGUAUUCCUGAAAAAAAAAAAAAAAAAAAAAAAGAGACAAAAAAGUAAGUUCGUAUACUAUAGAGUAUUAAAUAUCUUCAAGCUAUGAUGGCAAGGAUUUAAUGUGUCUCGCUUAGUACACAAAAGGAAGUAGUUAAGAAAAGUUCUAUAAGUAAAUAAAGCACCACAUUAAACCAAUACAAUUUUGUGUUUUUUUUUUCAGUAGAACCAGUUUUAGAAAUGUGCUUGUUACCAUGCCCAUGCUAAAUAAAUAUCACUGACCUAAUGUCAACGUUAUUCAUGGUUAGGAAUUCAAAGUGAUUUUUACACAAAAAUACCCAAACUGGGAGCAUAUGUGACUAGGACAAAAAAUGUUUAUAGUUCAGCUAUUUUUGUCUUAAAUUGGAAAUUCACACUAAUUCUGGACAAUUUUCACUUUAUUAAAAAAAAAAAACCCCUGCAUAUUUCCAUUUUGUUUUGAAGUUCCUAUGCUGGAAGGAAUACAGAUUCAACUAGUUUCUACCAGGGCUGUGAAGUCUGAUUUGUGGAAUAAGAAGCAUUUUUUUUAUUUUUAUUAUUAUUAAUUUAACUAAAAAAUACUAAGUAAGUAUAUUCUUGUGUAUAUGCCACAACAUUAGAUAGGCUAUACAGGUUUAGGCAUAUAUUUGCUGGAAAAGUCAAAUCUCCAAAAAAUGCAACAUUUGGGAAUAGGAUAAGGCUGCAGGACUCAUAUAGGCUUACGAUUUUGGCCUUGGCUAGGCAAAAGACGCCAAUAAAUAGUCUAGUUUCAUAUGAAAUUAUAAAUGUUAUUUUACUUACUGUAUCCGGUUAUGGGAUAGGCUAUUUUAUAGUAUAAUAAGAUGGUCAGAGUUUAAACAAAACAUAAACAAACAUUAGCGUGUUGUUUACCAUUUUGCCAAUACAGGGCGAUAGAUGGCACCUAUGUGUACGCCAGUCUGUUGCGUUUACAUGAAAUUAUAUGAAACUGCAGGCUGUAAUGUUAUCUACUAGUUCUUCAGGCAUAUGAAACAAUAAGCAGACUAGAAGAGACAACUUAUUAUAGCCACCAAAGCUAGAAACUCUUGUGUGUAACCGAGAUAGCAAUGAAAAAGUACUGAGGACAUAGCGAUUCAUAGAGAUGUGCAAUAAACAAUUACUAUACUAUAGCUUGUUAGAACUAGUGACCCUUUAGUUGUUGUCAUUUGCGUUGCUUCAGUUAUCAACUGCCAGGGCACACUAAAUGCUGACCUAAUGCGCGUGUGUGACAACGGCCAGGCUCGCAUUAGGAUUUCCCCAUAGGAAAGCAUUAUUUAUUGCUUUCCUGUGGGGAUUCCAGUGACAGUGGAAGUUCAUGCAGAGCAUGAGGACGUCCAGAGUCGUUUAGGCGACUAAAAGUCCCCUAUCCACACGGAAGACAGCCACUAGAGGAGGAGUUAACCCUAGCAGGUAAUUAUUGUAGUUUACCAGAGUAGUUUUAUAAAAACUGCAAUAAUUACCACCCUAGGAUUAAGGGUGAUGUGAGUUUGCACCCAGAUCACUUCAAUGAGCUGAAGUAGUCUGGGUUCCUACAGUGUUCCUUUAAAAAGGUAGGCCAAGAUAGCGGAAUUAGAAAUCUCUCCAAAUCAAUUCUCUUUUCAGUUAGGCUUAAAGGAUCAACUAUAGUGCCAGGAAAACAAACUUGUUUUCCCGACACUAUAUACUCUUUAGGACCCCCCCCCUUCCUCAGGGUCCCAACCCCUUCAGUUACUUACUUUAAUCCAGCGCCAGGCUCCCUCUGCACUGGUAACCUCUCCUCCCCCGCCAGCUACCGAGUGGAGCGGAAUGCGCAUCAAGUGCCGCGCAUGCAUUCAAACAGUCCAUAGGAAUACAUAGAAUAAGGGUAGAUACAGAUACUAGGAUCUCAAUAUAUACAGCAGCCUCUCAUUAGGCACACUCCAAAACAAGCCUAGAUAAGUGACAGUAUAAAAAAAAAAAAUUGGGGCUUACCCGAAUAUUACACCAACUGAGGGCGCAAGGAAACUGUAGUGACUACAAAAUAGUCAGAGCAGACUAUAAAAGUAACAAAUUUAUUCCAAAUAAAAAUAUAUACAUAAAAAAACAGCACUAUUGUGAGACCGGGAUAAAUAUCCAGCACCAACCACUAGAUAUGGUGAGAAUGGGUAUUCUCAAAGCCCUUUGGUCGCAACUCCUGGGGGUUAGGGGAUACCUACAGUAGAAUAUACAUCGUGGCGGUAAUCAGGUCUCUGGGCUGUCGUCUUCUGGCUCAACAAAUAUUUAUAUCCACACAACAUUGUUUUAUAUAGAUAGAUAGAGAUAUAUUUGUAGAUUUUUUCUAUCUUCUAGACUUUCUUUAUUGUGUGUUUUGACUUAUUUGAAUGUAUACUUGGGUUUUUUGAUGAUGACCUAUGUACUCAGCUAGGAAUUUGGACAUUCUAACUCACUUAAGCGUAGGUUCCAUGUGUGUCCUUUUGGUUUUAUUAAGACUCAAAUAUACAUAGUCACUAUUUUGAUACUGCAGGUAUGCAACUCAUUUGACAGAUGCAUUGUUAAAUUUUAACCAUACAACAAUGAUUAAUUAGAGUUCCCUACUAAUCUUUAUAGUGGAUAUCAAGAUAUCACCUUUUGAUAUCUCCCCUUGUUAACAAUAUCAUACACAUAUUACCUUAGAUAGGAAAUGCCUCCCUCUCAAUAGCUUAUAUAUACAUAUUCUAAUAAUUCCCAGGAACAUCUAGUUACCCUUCAUUUCAUAGAUGUCACCAGUCAUGCCCUUUUAUAGUGCUUUAGAAUUAAUUUAUCACACAUAAUGUAAUAUUGGAUUAGCUAUGUUGAGUUGUAAACCCUUCUUUUUCAGGCAAUACCUAUUAGAGUAUAUGCUAUGUGUAAACCGUAUCCUUUACUGUUUAACCCCUUAAGGACCGAGGACGGUUCAGGACCAUCAUCGGCAUUUUUGCCUUGAGGACCGAUGACGGUCCUGAACCAUCCAAACGGUCAGAGCUACUUACCUGAUCGCCGUCGUUCCCCCGGCGGCGAUCAGCGUGGCUCCGGUUGUGGGGAGACUGCCUGCAGCCCAGACAGUCUCCCCACGGCAGAUUAGGACCCCUGUGUCCAUGUGAUCGCUUAACAGAGCGAUCACAUGGUCACAAUAGGAGUCCAUGUGUCUGCCUGCAGGGGGACUGCCUGUGCUGACAGGCAGUCUCCCUGCUAGUGUAAAAUCAAUUAAAAAAAUAAAGUUAGUGUUAAUAAAAAAAAAAAUAAUAAUAAUUAUAUAGGUGUAUAUAUGAUAUAUAGACAUAUAUUAUAUCUAUAUAAUAUAUGUCUAUAUAUCAUAUAUAUAAUGCCAUACUAAGUAUUUUUAUAUUAAUAUGUACUUAUAUUAAUAUAAAAAUACACGUAUAAUUAAAUUACACACGUAUAUAUAUAAUAUAUAUAAUAACUAUAUAUAUUGUAUAUAUAUAUUAUUAUAAAAUAUAAAUAAUAAGUAAUUUAAAUUAAAUAAAUUUUUUUAAAUAAUAAUAAAAAUGUAAAAAAAAAUUAUAUAUCUAUAUGAAAUUUUAUUCUAACUGUAUUUUAAAAUUAAUAUAUAUAUAUUUAUAUCAAAAUACACUUAGAAUGAAUUUGUAUAUAUAUCUAUGUAUAUAAAAAUAAAUAAAAAUAAUAAGAAAUAUACAUACGUCCAUAUACAAAAUUACAUAAAUAAUUAUAUAAAUAUACGUAGACUUCAAAUAUAUAAAUAUGCAUAUAUAUUUAAAUUCUACGUGCGUUUUAUGUAAUAUUUUUACAUAAUUCAGUAAUUUUAUUGAUUGCAAUUUGAGGGACCUGCCUGCCAACCCAGGCCGAAAUUCCAGAGAAUUUAAUUUGCUAGCACUGUAUUUUACCCUGUAACGUUCUACGACACCCUAAAACCUGUACAUGGGGGGUACUGUUUUACUCGGGAGACUUCGCUGAACACAAAUAUUAGUGAUUCAAAACAGUAAAACAUAUCACAGCGAUGAUAUUGUCAGUGAAAGUUACUUUUUUUGCAUUUUUCACACACAAACAGCACUUUUACUGAUGAUAUAAUUGUUGUGAUACGUUUUCCAGUUUUUAAACACUAAUAUUUGUGUUCAGCGAUCUCAGUAAAUACUAUGUACAGGUUUUUUUAUUUUGAAAGCUACAAGGUCAAAUAUAUGGGUCAAAUAUUUUACAUUGAAAAUGGCCAGGUUGGUUCACGUUGCCUUUGAGAGCGUAUGGUAGCCCAGGAAUGAGAAUUACCCCCAUGAUGGCAUACCAUUUGCAAAGAAGACAACCAAGGUAUUGCAAAUGGGGUAUGUCCAGUCUUUUUAGUAACCACUUGGUCACAAACACUGGCCAAAAUUAGCGUUCAAUUUAGUUUUUACUUUUUCACACACAAACAAAUAUGAAUGCUUACUUUGGCCAGUGUUUUCGACUAAGUGGCUACUAAAAAAGACUGGACAUACCCCAUAUUGAAUACCCUGGGUUGUCUACUUUAAAAAAAAUAUGUACGGGGAGCGUGGCUAACCGCCGAGCAAGAUGGCCGCUUAGAAAUCUGCUCCGGCACAUGGGCUCCACCAACUCCACUUUUAACGCGAGCUGAAACCACCCUAACACCCAAGCAAACCAUGGCCUCAUCCAAAGCUAAGAAAAUGGCUGCAAAAGCCGAAAAAAUGAACUUUUUUGGACAAAAAUCCUCCCUAACAGCGGAGACAGCACGGGCGACAGACCAAGAGACCGUGGACGAGCUGGAAUCCAGCUCACUGCCGGCAAUGUCUGAAGAGCCUCAGCCCACAGACUGCCUAACACGAAGCUAUUUCGAACGUGCUAUGGAGGCAAUGGCGACAAAAUUAAUUACCACAUGGCAAACAACUGCCGACCAACUCAAACGCGAGGUCAGAGAUCUAUCGGCCAGAACAUCCGCAGCGGAACAACGCUGCCAGACCCUCGAGACCGCGCAAACAACGACUUCAGGGUGCUUACAAUCCCUACAACAACAAAUGGAAAGCAUGGAGGCGCGCAUGGCGGACCAUGAAGACAGAGCGCGCAGAAACAACCUAAGACUCAGAGGAGUCCCUGAAACGGUCCUACCUGAGGACCUGCAGGCCUAUGUGAGAGGCCUCUUACGCGCCUACGGCCCGGACAUCCCCGCAGACAUGCUGCUUGUCGAUAGGGUCCACCGAGUAGCGAAACCGAGACACCUACCAGAUUCCAUCCCACGCGAUGUCCUACUCAGGGCCCACUACUAUCAUGUGAAAGAGUUGGUCCUCAGAUCCCAUCGUAACAAAGCAAACCCGCAUGAAGACUUCCCAACAGUACGCAUCAUGGCGGACCUGUCGCCAGCUACCCUCCGACGCAGACGAGACUUCAACGUGGUCACAACCGCACUCCGCCACCAUGGAAUCCGUUACAGGUGGGGAUUCCCCACGAAGAUAAUCCUCACCAGAAACGGGAAAUCGCACCUCCUUCUAUCUCCAGAGGACGGAUUGGCGGCCCUGGAGGCAUGGGACUUAACGACAGCACCACCGACAGAGGCACGACCCAAGCCCCAAAGACCAGGCCAUAGCACAAAUAUGAACUAAAAUGAAAGAACGGAACUGAAUGGCAUGCUAGCGCAAGUAUCACAUUAAUGCUAUAUCUGCUCAAAUGUUUUCUUGAUUAAUAUGCAAGGUGUAUGUACCCAUGCUACAAGAGGGUAUAAUCCUAACCGCUGUCUGCACUCCCUUUAAUAGCCCACUCAACUGUAAACCAGAUUGGGUAGCCCUUAGAUGCACAUGCUGCGCAAUGCAUAGAAUUUAUUAAAUGAAGUGCCAUUAUAGGACACACCUUCGCAUAGGGCGCUGUCACUAAAGCAUGAGCCCAACGGGACAAUCUAUCCCACUGCCCAAUGUCUAGCACUACUAGAUAAGCACGCUUCGAUGCGCACAAGGGCACCGGGGAAACCUAACACAGCCCAAGCCCAAAUACGCGCCACACUGCACAAUUAAGAAUGUGGUUAAAAAGGGAGGGUAAAAACAAUGUUCUUGCAUAAUUACAGCAGCAGCGGUCAAAACAGACAGCAUCGAUUAUCGUAAUGAUACCUGCAUGCCUAUCCAAUAACAAAGUUUAAAGUUGUGUUGAAAGUUUUAUUGUUGAUCCACGCUAUAACCAAGGUUUCAGCUCUACCAAAUAGUUGUUUAUAUAUAGACAGGAGCCCAACUAGCCACGUAUUUGGAAGCUCCAGCUCCGCAGCCCCACGGUACGACUAACGUACCAGACCGCACGGUCUUUGUAUAUAAUCCACCCUAACCACCGACAGAACCCCGUCCUCCCAGCCUUCCCUACCUCUCCCCUGCACCUACACGACACGGCAGCUACACGCACCUCCCAUCCUAAGCAAACCACCACCGCAUACAAUACUUGAACUUACGCAACACUCCAUAAUAACCAUGAUCAUCUACUCACACAACACAAAGGGGCUCAACACGCCUCACAAACGGCGAGUGCUACUGGAUGAUAUAAAAAGCACGAAGGCAGACAUAGUCUGCAUUCAAGAAACGCACUUUGUCACUAACCGAAUACCCACCUUCGCAACUAGAGACUACCCCACACAGUACCAUGCCACGCACACUUCUAAAUCCAGAGGGGUCUCCAUACUGUUACAUAACUCAUUAACAGUGGAGACUCUGCGAGUCAAAACGGACAGCCAAGGCAGAUACCUUAUUCUUCAAUGUAUAAUUAACAACGACCCACUCAUUCUAGUAUGCCUAUACAGCCCAAAUGACCAACAGCGCAACUUCCUCCAUAAGGUCCUCAGCAAACUGCCAGAAGAUUCAAAUGAUCCCAAGAUUAUCUGCGGAGACUAUAACCAUACUAUGGACUCGCGAACAGACACAACAACCCCUGCCACAUCAACAAGGCACCUCACACUGGGCCCAAACAACAAAGCAUUCACAAAGCUUAUACACGAAAAUAGCCUAUACGAUGUUUGGCGAACUAGACACCCAUCGGACAGAGAAUACACAUUCUUCUCGCACGUACACAAGACAUAUUCAAGAAUAGACCACAUCCUCGCUUCAGGCACGAUACUACCGCUCAUAGAGGACUGCUCAAUAGGCAAUAUAGUCUGGUCCGACCACGCCCCAAUUACACUGACCCUGCGAUCUAACUACCAACAUAGAGGUAAACCACCAUGGCGCCUCAACGAAACACUCCUUCAGGACAAAGUGUUCACGACAAAAUUGAUGAAAAACCUGCAAGACUAUUUUCACACCAACGAUAACCCGGAGACCUCCAUCUACAGUAUCUGGCAGGCCCAUAAAACUGUCCUGAGAGGUCAGCUGAUCAGCCGAGCAUCAUACCUCAAACGCCAAAGGGACAAGGCACAUAUAGACCUUCUUCGACAGCUAAGAGACAUCACGGCUGCACAUUUUCUGAACCCAUCGGACACGCAUGCAAACGACAUACAAAAUAUCACUAAACAAAUCAAUAUCUUAACUCUUGAGAAAACGGCCCACAUCCUUACCAAACUGAAACUACGAACAUACACGCAAGGUAACAAAGCAGGGAAACACUUGGCCAACUUACUCAAACAAAAGCAGGCCAACUCCAAAAUCCCACACCUAAUCACCAAAACUGGCGAGAAAAUUCAUAACCCACAAGACAUCAAUGACGAUAUGGCCGACUACUACCACUCCCUCUACAACCUUAAAACAGAUCCCACCCUACACCAACCUACCACACAAGAAAUAGACGAAUUCCUUCACACUAUGGAACUCCCCACUCUAACGACAACACAAAAACACACUAUACAACAUCAGAUCACCGAGCAAGAAAUCAUAGACACCAUAAACUCCCUACCACCUGGAAAAUCACCAGGCCCAGACGGACUACCCAACUCAUAUUACAAACAGUUCGCGCCUACCCUAGCUCCCUACCUACAAAGAGUAUACCACCACAUCCUACAGACAGGGACCAUGCCACAAGAAAUGCUCAUGGCCCAUGUUGCCACCCUCCCCAAACCAGGGAAACCCCCAAACAAAUGCCAAAAUCUGCGCCCCAUCUCGCUGUUAAACACGGACGUGAAAAUUAUAGCAAAAAUCCUCUCAAACAGGCUAGCUCCCAUAAUUCCUUCACUUAUUAAAGAAGACCAAGUAGGGUUUGUGAGGGGCAGACAAGGAGCGGACGGCACGCGAAAAACCCUGGACCUACUAUACGUGAUACAGCAAAAAAAGAGGCCCAGCGUCCUACUAUCCCUAGAUGCCGAAAAAGCCUUUGAUAGGCUCCAUUGGCCCUUCCUGUUGGCUGUCCUCCACAAAUUUGAAUUUCCCCCACAAUUUAUAUCACUCAUUAAAGCACUAUACUCUCAGCCAACAGCCCGAGUGGUAAACGGGGGUUUUAUCUCAAAACCCUUCCAUAUAACUAACGGCUCUAGACAGGGCUGCCCACUUUCCCCACUGCUGUACAUCCUGGCGCUAGAACCCCUCACCCAACUCAUACGAGACAACCCGAAUAUCCACGGUAUUAAAACUGGGGACCAGGAGUACAAAUUGUCCCUAUUUGCGGAUGAUAUCUUACUAACCCUGGAACAACCACAUAUCUCCCUGCCCAAUUUCCACGCAAUCCUCUCUAGAUAUAGCGCCUGCUCAUAUUACAAGUUGAACAUCACUAAGACUCUAGCCAUGGGGAUUAAUAUCCCGAGCCCUGUCCUGACAACCCUUAAAUCCAAUUUUAACUACGACUGGAGACAAGACAAUAUCAAAUUUCUAGGAAUAAACUUCACACCUACAACGAACACACUGCUCAAAGCGAACUAUACUAAACUGCUUAAGGAAGCUAAAUCCCUAAUGCAAAGCUGGAGGGGGAAAUAUGUGUCCUGGACUGGACGAAUAGCCUCGGUGAAGAUGGUGAUUCUACCCAAGAUUCAAUAUCUGUUCCGUACACUCCCACUCCGACUCCCCAAAAAGUAUCUAAUGGAACUACAAAACGUCAUAAACGACUUCGUCUGGGACAAUAAAAAACCAAGGGUGUCCAAAGCCACAAUGUACAAGCCACACGCCCAGGGCGGGAUGGGCCUGCCCGAAUUGGCGGGAUACUACAGGGCAGCGCACAUAGCUCCACUCAUUGCUGCAACACACAGCCAGGUCCCCACAGCGUGGGCAAAACUGGAGGAAAGGCAAGCCCGGAAGAUCCCAAUCCAGACUCUAGCCUGGCUAUCAAAAACUCACAGACCCAAAGCUUCAGAACUGCUCCCCACUACAGCACUAACCCUGUCCAUAUGGGACAGCUACCGGAAAAAAAGAGGCGCGACAAACCUACUCUCCCCGGCGAUGCCAUUAGAGACACUCCGACAGCUUAUCCCAGAUUUCAAUUAUAAACUCUGGCAAAGGCACGGCAUAACCACAAUAUCGCAUAUAAUGCAAGGAAAUAACCCCAAAUCAUUCUCAGAACUUCGCACAGAAUUCAAGCUACCUAAUACGGCGGCCUUUUCCUACCUCCAACUACAAUCAUGGAUACGCAUCCACACUCCGACACAACCUGCUGAUCCUCCAAACCUCCAUUGGACUAAAUUGAUGAAGAUCUGCACAAGGGAAAAACCAGCGACAAAACUUAUCUCCACAUUAUACGCCUCGGAACGCAUAGAGACCCUAACGGACCCACCUUCCUUUAAAGUGGCAUGGGAACAAGACAUCGGACACACACUCUCAAAUGACCAAUGGCAAGAUAUAUACCAAGCUCAUAAACGACUAACCCUCUGUACGACCCACAUAGAACUCUCACGCAAACUACUCUACAGGUGGUACCUAGUCCCCGCAAAACUCAAACAUAGCUACCCCGAUACAUCGGACACAUGUUGGAGAUGUCAAGCGCACCGAGGCACCCUACUACACAUAUGGUGGCAAUGCCCGCUACUACAACGAUACUGGGCACAAGUUGCGAACCUGGCUACAAAAUGCACCAAGGUGCAGAUAACCCCCACACCAGAAACAUUCCUACUACUCUCACUCCCACAAUUGCCACACCUGCACCUGAAGUAUCUACUGUACCACAUCUGCAUUGCAGCCCUCACAGUCAUUAGCAGAAAAUGGAAGCAACAAAUCACACCAACACUCCACCAAUGCAUUGAGGUAAUAGAAUCAACCAAACUAUAUGAACUUAUGGCAAGGAAAUUGAGACAGUCUCACCCCUACUGGACUGAAGCAUGGGACCUGUGGGACAAAACUAGACCACAACAAUCAUAUAUAACACAACCCUGAAGCUGGAAACGGCACCUCCACGAUAGGAGGCUGAACUCAAAUGACAGACUGAUACCUCACCACACUACUCCACACGGCAUACACACCCAUCCCAAUUCCCCUCCUAUCCCCUAUAAACGCUAUGAUGAGACAUCCAUAACCAUAUGUAACACAAUAACCAGGGCCAUGCUAAGCUCUGCCCAGCCAGCACGACCCCAUGACGAGAAAACCCAUACUACACCAUUAAAAAAGAAGAUGACACUAUGCACAAGACACCCUCACACCACAAAGUGCUGUUACUAAGGGAUAACUACAACUGUGCAAACCCUGACAAACUACUGUAUUCAAACUGCAAUGCCUUAUGUGAUGUUAACCCACCCUAUUUACUUUCUGUACCCCCACCCCUUUUUCGACAAAAUAAAAAUUGUCAAAUUCAAAAAAAAAAAUAUGUACAUGUGGGUGUUAUUCAGAGAUUUAUGACAGAUAAUAGUGUUACAAUGUCACUAUUGAUAAAUUUUAAAAAUGUAUGUUUUGAAACCGCAAUAUCCUACUUGUACCUAUAGCCCUAUAACAUGCAAAAAAGCAAAAAAGCACGUAAACACUAGGUAUUUUUAAACUCAGGACAACAUUUUGAAUCUAUUUAGCAGUUUUUUUCAUUCGCUUUUGUAGAUGAGUAAAAGAUUUUUCAAGUAAAAGUCAAAAAACAUGUAUUUUUUUCAAUUUUUCAUCAGAUUUUUGUAUUUUUUUUAAAUUAAAAUACAUGAGAUUAUAUAAAUAAUGGUAUGUAAAGAAAGCCCCUUUUGUCCUGAAAAAAACAAUAUAUAAUUUGUAUGGGAACAGUAAAUGAGAAAGCGGAAAAUUACAGCCAAACACAAACACCAUAAAAGUGUAAAAAUAUGCCUGGUCGCAAAUGUACAACAUCGCAAAAACAGUCCAGUCCUUAAGGGGUUAAAACUAUCUUUCAUUGAUGAGCUAGCAGCUGUUAAUGACACAAUGUAUCUUAUUUAGUAACCAGACUAUCCAAGGUUCAUGCCGUUCCCCCACCCCUAGAACCGAUCGCACUACUGAUCACGAUUGCGAUCGGUCUGUUGCCAUGGUAAUAUGUAAAUAGACGCCUCCGUGCGUCCCGACGGGUUUCCCAGGCAACUACUGGAACGCAGGGGUUACACAGCAGCAACAGCUGCUGCACACAUGCAAUAGGGUCAAGUUUUGCCCGCGAAUUUGUGGCGUUCAGAUAGCAGCUUGGGUAAGUCUCAGUUGUAUCCAAUGUACUUGAUUGAGUAUGUUAUUUAUUUUGUAACAUUUGUUAUGCACUGGUAUCCUGACGAAAGCUCCAAGUGGGAGCUGAAACGUUGAUCACUUUUGGCAGUUGCUGAAUAAAGCUAAGUUGUUUUUUUUCACCUUAUAUGAAGUCCCUGGAGUGCUUUUCACAUUUUUCUAUCUAUUAUUUGUGCCGACAAGCACCGGGCUAUAUAUACUUCUUUACAGGAGUGCAAGCAUUGGACAAUAUUAUAUCCAGUGUGUGUGUGUGUGUGUGUGUGUGUGUGUGUGUGUGUGUGUGUGUGUGUGUGUGUGUGUGUGUGUGUAUAUAUAUAUAUAUAUAUAUAUAUAAAAAUAUUGGGUGAUGUGAGUUUGCACCCAGAUCACUUCAAUGAGCUGAAGUAGUCUGGGUUCCUACAGUGUUCCUUUAAAAAGGUAGGCCAAGAUAGCGGAAUUAGACACACACACACACACACACACACAUAAUCUUCGGUAUUUUUAAUAUAUAAUUUUUUUUAACAUACAACAUCAAUUUGUGGUAUAAUCCAAGGCUUCCAAUAUGUUAAAGGCAUCAGCUGUUACAGAUCAACAGCUACACGUAACCUCCACAGAUGUGGAAGCUUGUGUUACUUUGUAUAGGUUGUCCAGAUGCCAUUAAAGUUUGUUGUGCGUUCCAAGGUGGAGGCACAUGUGCGUGGGGCACUUCUGGAACGUCCAUGGCGUAUGACGUACAAGUGUGCGCCAAUGCACCGGACGAGAUGGGAGAUGAUGCCUUUGUGUGCAUGCGCAUAGACCUAAUUGGGUGCAAAGAUUUGAAUAUUUAAAAGAAACACUGGAAGGACGUACAGCUCAUCCCCAGCUCCUGAGGAAGUCCCGAGUACGGCGGGACAAAACACGUUGAGCCAGAAGGUGACAGCCCAGAGACGGUGUAUAUUCUACUGUAGGUAUCCCCUAGCCCCCAGGAGUCGCGACCAAAGGGCUUUGAGAAUACCCAUUCUCACCAUAUAUAGUGGUUGGUGCCGGAUAUUUAUCCCGGUUUCACAAUAGUGCUGGGUUUUUUUAUGUAUAUAUCUUUAUACGGAAUAAUUCUUGUUACUUUUAUAGUCUGAUCUGACUAUUUUGUAGUCACUACAUCUCAGUUUCCUAGCACCCUCAGUUGGUGUAAUAUUGGGGUUAGCCCCAAUUUUCCACUUUUUUUAAAAAAUUUUUUAUAAACAGUCCAUAGAAAAGCAUUUGCUUUCCUAUAAACGUUCUGCACGCUGGAUGUCAGGAAGAAGGCUGGAUGAACCAUGCAAUGUAAACAUAGCAGUUUCUCUGAAACUGCUGUUUACAUUUGAAGGGUUGAAACAUGGGGGACCUGGCACCCAGACCACUGCAUUGAGCUGAAGUGGUCUGGGUGACUAUAGUGUCCCUUUAAAUUUUAAAUUCACGGCAAGUCUCACUUUAGUGAAUAACCCUGUUCGUAUGUAUCCCUUAGAGUGUUUUAGUUUCUUCCACAGAAUUUUUUCUUUCUUUAUCUUUAGCACCACAAAAUGGAGACAGGUUCCCUACUAAAACCUUAAUAUUUAACUUCCUCACAAGCCCAUUGGCAGAAGGAGACUAGCUUGAGUGACCAGGUGUUUUAUUUCGUCAAACUGCAGGGACUAUCACUAGAUCUUCAUUUCUCCAUAGCCAUUGCAAGAAGCUGUAGAGUUUAUGAUACUCAGUGUGCUUUUUUCAUCUGUUUUGUGACUAGAAUUACCACCCAAUCCAGCUACUCCUAAGGUUGUGAGGCAAAUAUUUCAGGUACUCUCAAGCACACAUUCUUUGUAGUGUGGUCUUAUUGGCUGUAUAUAACUAACCAUCCCCAGCACCUCAAUAUUCAUUUAUGUCACACUCUCCCUCUUCUCAUUGCUUUAUUAAAUAAAUUCAAUAAAAUGUUUUAAUAAAAAACAUAUAAAUUAAAUGAAAAAAAAAGGGGAGAGAGUGUAGAUACCGGACGUAUGAAAAACACAAGCAACUCACUCCAACACAUGGUUACUUGUUAUGUAUUUAGCUGUGCAAACAGUAUUGUCAUGUGGCUACAUAUCACAUGCUAUCUUAAUGAUGUAUUUCCAUAUAAAAACACUAGUCAGUUUAAAGGAAAACUAUAGUGCUGGGACUGCAACGUUGCAUUCUUAGCACUAUGGUAUCCUAUAGUGUGAUACCAUAUCCCUCCCCUCAUUGCUGAAAGCGUUAAAAAACAUUUUGUUACUUACCUGAUUCCAGAGCUGAUGUUCCUCAGCUAUGGGUCAGGCUCCACCUCUGCCAUCAGGGGGGUGGACCAAAUGCACCUCCAUGGCUAUCGAAUUAGGAUUACCACAUGGAAAGAAUUGAAUCAAUCCAAAAGGAAUCUAGCCUGGGUUCCAAGCUUAAAUAGUAAAGACAAAAAAGGAAAUUGGGGGCACACCCGGACCAUACAUUUUGCAGGAACGGUGCUGCCAUAGUAACCAAAAUUUAUAUAUAAUACAAAUUAAGUUACAGCACACAUAUAAAAAUGCAUUUUUACCUUUUUUUAGGCUAUGUAUUAAAUUUUUGUCACUACGGCAGCACCAUUCCUGCAAAAUGCUAGUUCCAUGUGUGCCUCCAAUUCCUUUUUUUUUCUUUACUAAAUAAAUUCUUAUAUCUUCUCCACAAGAUGCAAUUGACAAGCUCCAUUAUUAUACCAACAAGAAGAGCAUUAUGAAGGCUCCUAGAUCUCCUCCUGAAUUCCCUGCCCUAUACUCUUCUAUUUAGAGCAGGCUUCCCCAAACACCGGCCCUCCAGAUGUUGCUGAACUACAACUGGAGGGCCAGAGUUUGGAGAAGCCUGAUUUAGAGGUUCAUGAAUUUAUCAUCCACUACUUUGACUUAAACAAAGAGACUUUGCAGCCCUCAACAAGGUCUUAAAAGCCUCUAACAUUAUUUACCGCUAGGGAUUUCCAACUCAGCUGAAUCACUAACAGAACAUAAUGACGAAAGAGACUACUUUGCCUCAAGAUGUUUUGCUCUUCUGCAACAAUAGGACAUUCCAGUGGAACGUCGUGAGGAUUAGUUUAAAGCAAGGUUUUUACACUCUGUCCAAACUGCUCCAAGAAUGGCUUUGUUCCAGUUGAACGUAAUAAACUUUCUACUAUGUUCUAGAAUAGAUAUUGUAUACUGGUCCUUUUAGCCAAGUUUGUAUAUUUUUUUUAUAUAUAUUGUAAUGUGUAUUGAUAUUGAUUUUAAUCUCCUAUAUCUUUUUCCCCCCCUCUUAUUUAAUGGUUUAUCUGAAAUAUUGAUAUCCAAAAGUUAUAGAGAAUUUUUGUUUUUCGAUGACACAUCAAUGUUUUAUAUAUUAAAAUAAAAACUUCACUUCCACUGGAAGGUAAGACUUUGCUCAGUCGUGGUGGUUCCGAGCAGACUGCUGGCUCACCAGGGCUAGUUGCCUUUAUUUUUAAUUUCCUGGUUGUUUAUACUUAUGCCUUUUUUUUUUUCUUGUGUGUUCUCACCUUGGCAUUUUUUGCAGUCUGUACUUUUUCUUAUGUUUUAAAGAAAAAUAUAUCAGAAAUAAAGAAUAGAAGAACAGAUUCUGAGAAAAGAGGAAGCAAUAGGAAAAAGGUAAUUUCGGCUUGACAGUGUCGCUUUAAGGAUAUUGGCAAAAAUACAACAAUCCAGAAAACAAAUCCCGAGGACAGACAAUCUAAAUGUCACAACCCUUAAUCAGUAGAGUGUCAAGGUGUGCCUCCUCCUCCCGGUAGAAUGAGACUCAGGUGUAAAACUGCAUGUGUCACUUUGUUGAAAAUUGGUUUAGACAUUGCUCCUGAAAGUUUCUAAUUUCACACUCAAUUAUUUGGCACCGGCAUCAACAGUAUGUGUUUAUGUACUAAUAAUCUGUAUUCACAGAAAUAUUCAUAGACUUCUAUAUGGCAUUUUUCUGGGAAAUAUCACAUAGUACCUAAUUCUGUCCUUCAAGGAACACUAUAGUCGGCAGAACAACUACAGCUUAAUGUAGUUGUUCUGGUGAGUAUAAUAGUUCCCUUCAAGCAUUUUCAUGUAAAUACUGCCUUUUCAGUCCCUACUUUGUCUUAUGUUUUAAAGAAAACUAGAGCAGAUAGGAAUGAAUAACAGAUCCUGACAGAGGGAGAGAAGAGGAAGCUAUUAGGGAAAGGUAAGUUCAGCAUGACAGUGUUGCUUUAAUAAUGCAUAGGAAAAUAGGGCGCAUAAAUCAAAGCAAAGAAAAUGAAAGGAACCCCCCCCCAAAAAAAACAAACAAACCAAAAAACCUUAAGGAUAACAACUGUCCAGUCCAACUAAGUUGUCAAAAACAUUUUUACUAUAUCAAUAAUUUUAUCAAAUUUUGGAAGGAAAUUGAUUUAAAAAAAAAAAGAAAAAAGAAAAUUUCACUGCUCAAUUCACUGUCAUUUAGGAGUUAAAUUACUUUGUUUCUGUUUAUGCAGCCCUAGCCACACCUCCCCUGGCUAUGAUUGACAGAGCCUGCAUGGAAAAAAAAACUGGUUUCACUUUCAAACAGAUGUAAUUUACCUUAAAUAAAUUGUAUCUCAAUCUCUAAAUUGAACUUUAAUCACAUACAGGAGGCUCUUGUGGGGUCUAGCAAGCUAUUAACAUAGCAGGGGAUAAGAAAAUCCUAAUUAAACAGAACUUGCAAUAAAGAAAGCCUAAAUAGGGCUCACUUUACAGGAAGUGUUUAUGGAAGGCUGUGCAAGUCACAUGCAGGGAGGUGUGACUAGGGUUCCUAAACAUAGUGAUUGAACUCCUAAAUGGCAGAGGAUUGAGCAGUGAGGCUGCAGGGGCAUGUUCUAUACACCAAAACUGCUUCAUUAAGCUAAAGUUGUUCAGGUGACUAUAGUGUCCCUUUAAAAAAUUGAUGAAAGGAUUGGUAUAUAUUGAAAAAUAGAUUUUAGGUGACAGUUGGCCUUUAACUCAUCCAUCACAGGUCUUACAUAUGGAACUUGUUCUUGAAAGGUCUAAAUGCAUAUGCACACUUGCAUUGGGUUUUCCUCUGAUGGUCCAUUCAUCCACUUAAAUGACCACUAUAGUGACAGGAAAACAAACUCAAUUUCCUGGCACUAUGUAGUCCUUAUGGCCCCCUUCCUGUUAAAACCCCAUCAGCCACUUACCUUUAUCCAGUGCCGGGCUCCCUUGGCGCUGGUGACCUCUCCUCCCCCUCUGAUGUUGGCUCCAGAGUGGAGCAGAAUGCGCAUACACGGCCAGAGUCGCGUGCGCAUUAAAAACGUCCAAAGGAAAGCAUUACUCUGAAACUGCUAUGUUUUCAGUUGCAGGGUUAAAACUAGAGGGACCUGGCACCCAGACCACUUAAUUGAGCUAAAGUUGUCUGGGUGCCUAUUGUGGUCCUUUAACAAGUGGGGUCGGAGUAAAGCAUAAAUCAAUAGUGACUCACAGGGUUAUUCACUAAAGUGUAACUAUUCAGGAAUUGCAAGUGAUUUUCACAUUUUAUGGCAUAAUAGCCACAUUGGAAAAAUAGUCCAUUAUGUUUUCAGUUUGGCUUUUUUGGUUAUGUCCAACAUUUUGUCCCUCUAAUACACAUUUUAGUCUGCUAAAUUACUGUGGCAAAACUAGCCACUUCAUUGUACCAAGAACUGUUCAUUCGUUUAAUGCCAUCUGUAAAGACUAUGUCCAUUUGUUUAAUUGGGCUCCCCGAACAGAACAUGGACAUACAAUUCGUGGAGCCGAACAAAGUACCGAAUGGAGCACCACACAAGGGAGUCGUGUGUCUCCAAUUGAGAACUGGCAACAUAGGGAAACCGCAAACACCUAGUGGUUGAAGGGGUGGUUGCCGUUCGUAUGAACAAACACGUGGCGGCGGUCAUCUUGGCGCACGAACGUCCAGUGGUGUUUGGUUGUCGAGUGCAUGGAACUAUCCACACCAUUCGUGCAGAUAAUUCCAUUCAUCCAAAUUGAGCGGCGUUCGUCUAAAUUGAAUCACUGACCGUCAGACACACGACUACCCAGUUAUAGAUGUGUAUGUUUGGUUGUUAAUUCGUAUGAACUCCCGAAAAAAGACCGGUCAUAGCCUGGAACUGUUUUGGGAUUCCCUCCUUGUGGCCGACCGGUCCCUAACUUCACUCAAAUGGCUUUUCUAUUCUAACGAACAGAUCUGAGCGGUAUUUCGACAGAUUGGGCGCUCAGAACCCAGCUAUUCAGUUAAGUGUCUUUCGUGGAGUUCGGAUAAAUAUUAUACGAAUUAUGAUAUUUUAACCAAUAUUGUGUAAUUCUCUGUACGGAGAGAUAAUGUAAGUAAAGGUGCGCUCUUACGCAAUUAUCUCUCCAGUACAGAAAAGUAUUUUGGGAAAUGUUACUGUACACUCAGUUUUCCACAAGGUCCACCAGGGGAAAACCCCUGGAAUGUCAUUAAGGAAACCCCUUGCAUGGGGAUUUGUAUAAAACCGGCUGUGGUUCAAUAAAGGUUCAGUUGACUCCCAAAACUGUGUGUCGUCCAGUUGUUGGGGAAUGGGAUUGGAAUUACUACGCUACUCUUUAUUUAUAUGCUGACUACGUCUACCAGCUGAGAUAUAGCAGUUUUACACUCUACUCCACUACAAUUACUAUCUCAGUCAAAUAAAAACUAAAGUUGGUCACACUUUCCUUUAUCACAAUAUUAUAUAGCCAAACCGGAUUUGCCAGACAUGUUGCUUCAUACACAUUACCACACCCAGGUCUGUGAAAAUUAUGAAAAACCCUAGUCUAUGAAGCAUUGUUCCCAAAAUCUAACACAGAAGCUUUUAAAUAAAUCCAUUAUUGUUUUCUAGCUACUUUGAACACAAGCCUUUAAUUACUCAUAUGAUUAAAGAAUUAUGGUAUUUUAAAAUAAAUCCACAAUAUCAUUGUGUGACUUCAGACUGCCAGGGAGUUUGAAGUUCUUGGGAAAUAUAUUUACAUGAACUCCAUCUUCAGCACUGGCAAACUCUGCUUCAAAUCCACCCUAAGCUACUGGAAGAUGAAGCUGCAUGUACUUGCUCUAUUUUUGUACUCUUGGGCAUGGAUGAUCCCAUGAAACAAAUACCAUAAACAUCUAUUGCACAGUGAGAAAGAACAUGCUGAGCAGAGAAAGGAAUCAUUAAAUAUCAGUGGGUGCCGGUGAUUGUCUGAGUGCCUGGGCUGGCCACCCGUUAUUAGUAACAGUAUAUUAGUCACCAGUACCCAACGCUUUUCAAUGAUUCCCUUCUUUGCUCACAAUGGUGUCCAAGUAGAAAAAGCAAAAGAGAGCACAGGCAGGCAAGCACAGCUUAACCCCUCAGAGAAACAUUCCAAACACAAAGCAAUUUUGCAGUCUUUAGUGUAUCUUGUUUGUUUCCCUUUACAAAAAGUGGUUGUUUAACUCAGUGGCGCAGAGGCAGGCAAUUGCUUUAAAAUAAGACUUUGCCCAGGGACUUCAUCCCUCAAAAUAAUUUAAAGGACCACUAUAGUGCCAGGAAAACAAAAUAGGAAGAAAAAAAAAAAAAGGUGCAUUUCACUUUAUCUACAGAGUGCAGUUUAACCUCUUCAUGUAAAGAGUUUAAAUAAGCAUUGACUUACAGAGUUAAAGAGACAGUUUAGGCACCAAAACAACAUCGUGUAAAUUAAGUUGUCAUGGUGCCUAGAGUGUUCCUUUAUAGUUAAGCCUAAAAGGCUACAUCGGCAGAGCUAGUUAGCCCCCUCCCCCUACCCCGUGUCUGCUGGCAGGAGGCUCACACGGGAGGACAGGUACCUGGAGGAGGAGGCGGCGGCGGCGGUGUGGCCGGCUGUCAGUGAGACGAGCUCCUGCUCCUCCUCUUGAUCUCGCUGUUGUGCAGCUUCUCCUCGAUCUUCCUCUCGUGCCCGGCCGGGACAUGGCGGUUCCCGUUCAGCUCGAUCUCUCUCUUGGUUCUCCCCUUGCCCCCGGCCCCGCAGCCGUAGUCCUGCAGGUUGUAAUAUUCAUACUGGUCGUAGUGGUCGCGCUCGAAGUCCACCAGGCUCUCCAGGUCGGCCGACAUGAUCCGCAGUUGGGGCUCGGUCUCUCGCUCCGUCCUGACAGCUGGCUUCUGUUUUCAAAAACAACGAGCACGUGACAGCAACGGCGCUCUGUCAUUGGACGGCUGGGACAAGUGUGGAACGUGGACUGAGUUUGCGUGUCAAGCCUCGCUUUGGGGGGGGGGGGAGGU
This 21520-nucleotide long non-coding RNA is filed under the name Pelobates cultripes (western spadefoot toad). Lineage: Eukaryota; Metazoa; Chordata; Amphibia; Anura; Pelobatidae. The record is from RNAcentral.